This is a long non-coding RNA of Pipistrellus kuhlii (Kuhl's pipistrelle), 150 nucleotides long. RefSeq lists it as uncharacterized. Lineage: Eukaryota; Metazoa; Chordata; Mammalia; Chiroptera; Vespertilionidae. The transcript has 3 exons. The record is from RefSeq and is a predicted model, not a curated record.
CCGCAGGGCACUCCCCAGGAGCAGAGCAUUAAAAUGUUACGUCUCCCGGCUGGUGUGGCUCGGUGGUGUUUGUUAUGGCAGCUGCCCUGACGACUACACCUCCUUUACAGCUCUGGCAGGCAGAGUUCUAAGAGAGCCGUGGCCUGCACC